CCAAUAGCGUAUAUUAAAGUUGUUGCAGUUAAAAAGCUCGUAGUUGAACUUCGGGAUCAAGGGAUCGGUCAUGCUUUCGUAUGUACUGGUCUUAUUGGUUCUCACCUUCUAAAGAACCAUAAUGUCAUUCAUUUGAUGUUAUGGGGAAUUAGGACUGUUACCUUGAAAAAAUUAGAGUGUUUAAAGCAGGCUUACGCUUGAAUACAUUAGCAUGGAAUAAUGAAAUAGGACAUCCGAUUCCAUUUUGUUGGUUUCUAGGAUCGAUGUAAUGAUUAAUAGGGAUAGUUGGGGGCAUUAGUAUUCAAUUGUCAGAGGUGAAAUUCUUGGAUUUAUUGAAGACUAACUACUGCGAAAGCAUUUGCCAAGGAUGUUUUCAUUAAUCAAGAACGAAAGUUAGGGGAUCGAAGACGAUCAGAUACCGUCGUAGUCUUAACCAUAAACUAUGCCGACUAGGGAUCGGAUGAUGUUAAUUUUUUAAUGACUCAUUCGGCACCUUACG
RNAcentral lists this ribosomal RNA (499 nucleotides) under uncultured Glomeromycotina. RNAcentral's name for it is "partial small subunit ribosomal RNA". It matches the Rfam family "Eukaryotic small subunit ribosomal RNA", at positions 591 to 1092 of the family's 1831-position model. Lineage: Eukaryota; Fungi; Glomeromycota. The record is from RNAcentral.